UAAGUGGAAGUUCAUGCGAUUGAUUACUUUGCAGAUCUGGAGAGAGGAGAUGCAGCAAGGUUAUAUAGGCGAGGCGAUGACCCCCGAAGAACUUGACAUUAAGUGAUUGGAAGGGAUAUGAUGUAUGUCUUGCAUGAAUAACUGGCACAGGAUCUGAAGUUUUGCUUGCUUUAACGAUAAACCAAUAGAAAUUAACCAAAAUCUGCGGCUGGGCCUUGUUCAUGAGGAUAUCGAGCGUCAUGUGUUGCACGUGCCAUCUCAUAUAUAGUUUGGAGUCUGCCAAUGGAAAGGAUGGCCAACCUGGGAAAGAUCACAGACUAGAGUUUCUGUCAUUCUUGGGAUAGGAUUAUUGCAAUUUUCUAUAUUACACAGGCCAAAUUUUGCCCCCUCAAGUUGUCAUGUAAGAUGCUGACAUAAACGGCGAGAUGCAAAACUGAUGCUUGAUGAUUUUGGGCAUAA
Molecule: long non-coding RNA, 459 nt
Organism: Rhodamnia argentea
Lineage: Eukaryota; Viridiplantae; Streptophyta; Magnoliopsida; Myrtales; Myrtaceae
Exons: 2
Source: RefSeq, a predicted model, not a curated record